UACGUAGGUGACAAGCGCUGUCCGGAUUUACUGGGCGUAAAGAGCGCGCAGGCGGUCGUUUAAGUCGAAUGUGAAAGCCCCCGGCUCAACUGGGGAGGGUCAUUCGAUACUGAUCGACUUGAAGGCAGGAGAGAGAAGUGGAAUUCCCGGUGUAGUGGUGAAAUGCGUAGAUAUCGGGAGGAAUACCAGUGGCGAAGGCGGCUUCCUGGCCUGUUCUUGACGCUGAGGCGCGAAAGCGUGGGGAGCAAACAGG
Molecule: ribosomal RNA, 253 nt
Filed under: uncultured bacterium
Lineage: Bacteria
Description: partial 16S ribosomal RNA
Rfam family: Bacterial small subunit ribosomal RNA
Source: RNAcentral